This 1444-nucleotide ribosomal RNA is filed under the name uncultured organism. RNAcentral's name for it is "16S ribosomal RNA". It matches the Rfam family "Bacterial small subunit ribosomal RNA". The record is from RNAcentral.
CAGGCUUAACACAUGCAAGUCGAGGGGCAGCAUGGUCUUAGCUUGCUAAGGCCGAUGGCGACCGGCGCACGGGUGAGUAACGCGUAUCCAACCUGCCUUACACUCUUGGACAGCCUUCUGAAAGGGAGAUUAAUACAAGAUGUUAUCAUGAGUAAGCAUUUUCGCAUGAUUAAAGGUUUACCGGUGUAAGAUGGGGAUGCGUUCCAUUAGAUAGUAGGCGGGGUAACGGCCCACCUAGUCUUCGAUGGAUAGGGGUUCUGAGAGGAAGGUCCCCCACAUUGGAACUGAGACACGGUCCAAACUCCUACGGGAGGCAGCAGUGAGGAAUAUUGGUCAAUGGACGAGAGUCUGAACCAGCCAAGUAGCGUGAAGGAUGAAGGUUCUAUGGAUUGUAAACUUCUUUUAUACGGGAAUAAACGGAUCCACGUGUGGAUUUUUGCAUGUACCGUAUGAAUAAGGAUCGGCUAACUCCGUGCCAGCAGCCGCGGUAAUACGGAGGAUCCGAGCGUUAUCCGGAUUUAUUGGGUUUAAAGGGAGCGUAGAUGGGUUGUUAAGUCAGUUGUGAAAGUUUGCGGCUCAACCGUAAAGUUGCAAUUGAUACUGGCAGUCUUGAGUACAGUUGAGGUAGGCGGAAUUCGUGGUGUAGCGGUGAAAUGCUUAGAUAUCACGAAGAACUCCGAUUGCGAAGGCAGCUUACUAACCUGUAACUGACAUUGAUGCUCGAAAGUGUGGGUAUCAAACAGGAUUAGAUACCCUGGUAGUCCACACGGUAAACGAUGAAUACUCGCUGUAGGCGAUAUACAGUCUGCGGCCAAGCGAAAGCAUUAAGUAUUCCACCUGGGGAGUACGCCGGCAACGGUGAAACUCAAAGGAAUUGACGGGGGCCCGCACAAGCGGAGGAACAUGUGGUUUAAUUCGAUGAUACGCGAGGAACCUUACCCGGGCUUAAAUUGCAACCGAAUAUGGCGGAAACGCUAUAGCUAGCAAUAGCGGUUGUGAAGGUGCUGCAUGGUUGUCGUCAGCUCGUGCCGUGAGGUGUCGGCUUAAGUGCCAUAACGAGCGCAACCCUUGCCGAUAGUUACUAACAGGUUAUGCUGAGGACUCUGUCGGGACUGCCAUCGUAAGAUGUGAGGAAGGUGGGGAUGACGUCAAAUCAGCACGGCCCUUACGUCCGGGGCUACACACGUGUUACAAUGGGGGGUACAGAGGGCUGCUACCACGCAAGUGGAUGCCAAUCCCAAAAACCUCUCUCAGUUCGGAUUGAAGUCUGCAACCCGACUUCAUGAAGCUGGAUUCGCUAGUAAUCGCGCAUCAGCCACGGCGCGGUGAAUACGUUCCCGGGCCUUGUACACACCGCCCGUCAAGCCAUGGGAGCCGGGGGUACCUGAAGUGCGUAACCGCAAGGAGCGCCCUAGGGUAAAACUGGUGACUGGGGCUAAGUCGU